GCGCCGAGUCCUAACCCCUGGACCGCCAGGGAAGUCCCUGACUGUGUGUGAUUUCAGCACGUAUGCAGUGACCCCCCUUCUCUUUUUCUUCACUUUCCGCAGAACCCAAAAUUUAUUGGGGUAUCCACUGGAUUAGGGCUGCUGUAACACAUGACCACAAACUGGCUGGCUGGAAGAAAAGACAUUUAUUCUCACAGUUCAGGAGGCUGGGAGCCUAAAAUCCAGAGCUCCAUAUUUACCCAUGUGAAAGGGAGCUGCCAACUGCACGUGAAUCUUACGAAAUCUCCAGUGUGGGAAUCAUUGAAGGAUCUUUGAAGAAUCCAGACGGCCCCCUUUCCAGG
Molecule: long non-coding RNA, 341 nt
Organism: Aethalodelphis obliquidens (Pacific white-sided dolphin)
Lineage: Eukaryota; Metazoa; Chordata; Mammalia; Artiodactyla; Delphinidae
Exons: 2
Source: RefSeq, a predicted model, not a curated record